Molecule: ribosomal RNA, 798 nt
Filed under: uncultured Bacteroidota bacterium
Lineage: Bacteria; Pseudomonadati; Bacteroidota
Description: bacterial SSU rRNA
Rfam family: Bacterial small subunit ribosomal RNA
Source: RNAcentral
AGGAGAGUUUGAUCCUGGCUCAGGAUGAACGCUAGCGAGAGGCCUAACACAUGCAAGUCGAGGGGUAACAGGGGAGCUUGCUCCCGCUGACGACCGGCGCACGGGUGAGUAACGCGUAUGCAACCUGCCCGCCACAGGGGGAUAGCCUUCCGAAAGGGAGAUUAAGACCGCAUAAGACCACGCCGGGGCAUCCCGGAGGGGUAAAAUAUUCAUAGGUGGCGGCUGGGCAUGCGUGACAUUAGCUAGUUGGCGGGGCAACGGCCCACCAAGGCGACGAUGUCUAGGGGAACUGAGAGGUCGAUCCCCCACACUGGUACUGAGACACGGACCAGACUCCUACGGGAGGCAGCAGUGAGGAAUAUUGGUCAAUGGAGGGAACUCUGAACCAGCCAUCUCGCGUGAAGGAAUACGGCCCUACGGGUCUUAAACUUCUUUUAUAGGGGGAUAAAGUCGUGUACGUGUACAUGAUUGCAGGUACCCUAUGAAUAAGCAUCGGCUAACUCCGUGCCAGCAGCCGCGGUAAUACGGAGGAUGCGAGCGUUAUCCGGAUUUAUUGGGUUUAAAGGGUGCGCAGGCGGCACGUUAAGUCAGCGGUGAAAUGUCGGGGCUCAACCCCGUCACUGCCGUUGAAACUGGCGAGCUCGAGUACGGAUGAAGUGGGCGGAAUGUGAUGUGUAGCGGUGAAAUGCUUAGAUAUGUCACAGAACACCGAUUGCGAAGGCAGCUCACUAAUCCGCAACUGACGCUCAUGCACGAAAGCGUGGGGAUCGAACAGGAUUAGAUACCCUGGUAGUCCCU